This 841-nucleotide ribosomal RNA is filed under the name Rhodococcus ruber. RNAcentral describes it as "bacterial SSU rRNA". It matches the Rfam family "Bacterial small subunit ribosomal RNA", at positions 21 to 872 of the family's 1533-position model. Lineage: Bacteria; Bacillati; Actinomycetota; Actinomycetes; Mycobacteriales; Nocardiaceae. The record is from RNAcentral.
UGCUCAGGACGAACGCUGGCGGCGUGCUUAACACAUGCAAGUCGAACGAUGAAGCCCAGCUUGCUGGGUGGAUUAGUGGCGAACGGGUGAGUAACACGUGGGUGAUCUGCCCUGCACUUCGGGAUAAGCCUGGGAAACUGGGUCUAAUACCGGAUAGGACCUCGGGAUGCAUGUUCCGGGGUGGAAAGGUUUUCCGGUGCAGGAUGGGCCCGCGGCCUAUCAGCUUGUUGGUGGGGUAACGGCCCACCAAGGCGACGACGGGUAGCCGGCCUGAGAGGGCGACCGGCCACACUGGGACUGAGACACGGCCCAGACUCCUACGGGAGGCAGCAGUGGGGAAUAUUGCACAAUGGGCGCAAGCCUGAUGCAGCGACGCCGCGUGAGGGAUGACGGCCUUCGGGUUGUAAACCUCUUUCAGUACCGACGAAGCGCAAGUGACGGUAGGUACAGAAGAAGCACCGGCCAACUACGUGCCAGCAGCCGCGGUAAUACGUAGGGUGCGAGCGUUGUCCGGAAUUACUGGGCGUAAAGAGCUCGUAGGCGGUUUGUCGCGUCGUCUGUGAAAACCCGCAGCUCAACUGCGGGCUUGCAGGCGAUACGGGCAGACUUGAGUACUGCAGGGGAGACUGGAAUUCCUGGUGUAGCGGUGAAAUGCGCAGAUAUCAGGAGGAACACCGGUGGCGAAGGCGGGUCUCUGGGCAGUAACUGACGCUGAGGAGCGAAAGCGUGGGUAGCGAACAGGAUUAGAUACCCUGGUAGUCCACGCCGUAAACGGUGGGCGCUAGGUGUGGGUUUCCUUCCACGGGAUCCGUGCCGUAGCUAACGCAUAAGCGCCCCCCGC